CACACACACACACACGAGAUACUGAGGUACACACACACACACGAGAUACUGAGGUACACACACACACACAGGAGAUACUGAGGUACACACACACACACAGGAGAUACUGAGGUACACACACACACACACACACACACACAGGAGAUACUGAGGUACACACACACACACGAGAUACUGAGGUACACACACACACACGCACACACACACACAUGAGAUACUGAGGUACACACACACACACACACACACACACACACACACGAGAUACUGAGGUACACACACACACACACACACACACACAGUACACUGGAGAUACUGAGGUACACACACACACACACACACACACACACAGUACACUGGAGAUACUGAGGUACACACACACACACACACAGGAGAUACUGAGGUACACACACACACACACACACACACACAGGGGAUACUGAGGUACACACACACACACACACACACACACAGGAGAUACUGAGGUACACACACACACACACACACACACACAGGGGAUACUGAGGUACACACACACACACACACACACACACACAGGAGAUACUGAGGUACACACACACACACACACACACACAGGAGAUACUGAGGUACACACACACACACACACACACACACACACACACACAUACACAGUACACUGGAGAUACUGAGGUACACACACACCCACUGGAGAUACUGAGGUACACACACACACACACACACACACACACACACACACACACACACUCACUGUACACUGGAGAUACUGAGGUACACACACACCCACUGGAGAUACUGAGGUACACACACACACACACACACACACACACACACACACGCAGGAGAUACUGAGGUACACACACACACACACACACACACACACACACACACUGGAGAUACUGAGGUACACACACACACACACACACACUGGAGAUACUGAGGUACACACACACACACACACACACAGUACACUGGAGAUACUGAGGUACACACACACACUCACACACACACUCACUGUACACUGGAGAUACUGAGGUACACACACACCCACUGGAUAUACUGAGGUACACACACACACUGGAGAUACUGAGGUACACACACACACACACUGGAGAUACUGAGGUACACACACACACACACUGGAGAUACUGAGGUACACACACACACACACUGGAGAUACUGAGGUACACACACACCCACACACACACUGGAGAUACUGAGGUACACACACACCCACCGGAGAUACUGAGGUACACACACACACACACACACACACACACACACACACACACACACACACACAGGAGAUACUGAGGUACACACACACACACACACACACACACACAGGAGAUACUGAGGUACACACACACACACACACACACACACACACACACAGAUACUGAGGUACACACACACACCCACACACACACACACACACACACACUGGAGACACUGAGGUACUCUCACACGCACACACUCACACUGGAGAUACUGAGGUACACACACACGCACACACUCACACGCACACACCGGAGAUACUGCGGUAUGCACACACACACACGCACACUCUCUCUCACACACUCACACAGACACUCACACUGGAGAUUCUGAGGUACACACUCACACACACUCACACACACACAGUUUUCCUCUGUGGUGAUUGUAAUUGUAGUGAUGUGAUAUUGUCAUUGUUGUGUGUGUGAGAUGAGAGUAAAUGUUGUGUAUAUAAAGAUUUUGUGUAGUUGAUGUUUUCAGAGCUAAAACUGAGUGUGUUAAGUGUGAGAAGGUUUUCUUUCUUGCAGGAUGUGGAACUGCAGUAUUACAGAUGAAGGCUGUGCUGCUCUGGCUUCUGCUCCGAGGUCAAACUCCUCAUCACACCUGAGAGAACUGAAUCUGAAUGGUAAUAAUCCAGGAGAAUCAGGAGAGAAGCUGCUCUCUGAUCUACUGAAGGAUCCACACUGUAACCUGGAGACACUACACAUUAACUAUAAUAAACUCACCAGGACUGGCGUAUGACAGGAGUCUCACCUCAAACCUCUUCUCCAGGAUAAAGCAGUCUUGGUGAAGAGUUAGAACCCGUCCCACAUUUCCAGCAGUUUGGGAGCUGUAUCAUUGAACUUAAAGGGGCAGAGCAGAAACAAAGUCAAGAACAGGCAGAAGGUCAUACACAGGAGAAAUCAACACACGUAACCAAAUAUCUGCUGUACAAAGCAACGGCACCGAUCUGCCCCGGGGAUGGAGACUGACGAGGCUUAAGUACACGUCCGGAAAUGUACAGCCAACUCAUCCCAAAGCACGAGGCGGGAGCAGGCACGUACAAGAUGUGAUCGUCCAAUGGCAAGCCGGAACAUGAUGCAUUGCAGUGGACUGGGCUUAAAAGAGGAGGAGACAAGACACCCAUCCCUCCCCUGACAUAGACACACAAAUGGAACAUAGUACAAAUAGAAAUAAAACUGAGGACAUAACAAUGGUCAAGUAUCAAAUAUAAUGUAAACUUGCAUCGAUGAAGUUAAUGUUGUUAGUAAUUGUUCAUAAAUUACCAUGGUAACACAGAGCUCCAAGGUAUAAAAAUAUGGAGUUUGUCAUCAACCAAACAGUAACCAGUUUUAAUACCUAUAAAAGUUUACGUAGUAAAAUUUAGCAAAGCGCUUUACAGUAAAUUCAAAUGUAAAAUUAAACUAAUGAAAUGUUGUGCAGCACAUGCUUAUGUUAAUUUUUGUUACAUUAUAUGAUCAUAUAAAUAAAUAAAUACUCCCAAAGUCA
This is a long non-coding RNA of Ictalurus punctatus (channel catfish), 2760 nucleotides long. RefSeq lists it as uncharacterized. The record is from RefSeq and is a predicted model, not a curated record. NCBI's taxonomy places the organism in Eukaryota, Metazoa, Chordata, Actinopteri, Siluriformes, Ictaluridae. The transcript is spliced from 2 exons.